RNAcentral lists this ribosomal RNA (235 nucleotides) under uncultured bacterium. RNAcentral describes it as "partial 16S ribosomal RNA". It matches the Rfam family "Bacterial small subunit ribosomal RNA", at positions 334 to 565 of the family's 1533-position model. The record is from RNAcentral.
GUCGGCCUACGGGGGGCAGCAGUGAGGAAUAUUGGUCAAUGGGCGCUAGCCUGAACCAGCCAAGUAGCGUGAAGGAUGACUGCCCUAUGGGUUGUAAACUUCUUUUAUAUGGGAAUAAAGUGCAGUAUGUAUACUGCUCUGCAUGUACCUUAUGAAUAAGGAUCGGCUAACUCCGUGCCAGCAGCCGCGGUAAUCCGGAGGAUCCGUGCGUUAUCCGGAUUUAUUGGGUUUAAAG